This 1567-nucleotide long non-coding RNA is filed under the name Homo sapiens (human). RNAcentral's name for it is "HSALNT0341916". The record is from RNAcentral. Lineage: Eukaryota; Metazoa; Chordata; Mammalia; Primates; Hominidae.
AGAGGAUAGGAGGGAGGGGGGAUGGGGGAGAGAGAGCAAAUGCAAAUUGAAGUUUUCUCUUCCUUUAUGUAUUCUGUAUCUUACUAUCUAUCCCCUUCCAGUGGGCAGCUGCACUGCAAACCCCACAGCUAAACAGCAUUAUUUAAUGAAAGAAUGGAGGCUGGUGGAAGAGGACACUCUUGUGAGGCCUACAUUGCUGAGACUAGAUAGAUCCUAAGCAGAGGCAAGAAGGAUAUACAGUCAUAGCAGGAUUCAAUUUGGCGGCAACAGUGCUUCUUGCAACAGCACCGAAUUCCUCAUUUGGUUACUGUGGAGCUUCCAGAAAUUUUGCUAGUGCUGAUUUUAGGUGCCAGCUUGCCAUAGCUUCAGGGCACUCUAGAUUUGGAGCAUUGGAGGGAAGAAGAGAAAGGUAUUCAGCAGCAUUACUCAGUCAACAUGUCCUGACGGUGUGUGGAGUGACCUUCUAGAUUUUGUGGGGAGUGAUGAUGGCAAUAUUUCCUGGAGAAGCACGCUCAAUAAAGGAGAAAUGGGAUUAACACAACUGUGACAAAACUGCACUAAGUGAUUGGAAAGUAGGAAGCAUGUGGGCAAAUGAAUAGGCUACUGGCCUGAUUAAACCAGGAAAUCUCAAGCAGCACUGGAGUUCUGAAAGAAUUAAGGGGUGUGGCUGGUGGAAAGCUGACAAAACUCCCUCAGAGGGGGCAAUAGCAUGGAUAUGAAAUAGAAAUCAGCUAAAAAUAUUUAUUGUGUCCAUUGUACUAUAUACCAGUCAUUAAAAACAUGUGAAAUAGAGACAUUUUUAUAAGCUUGUAGGAGAACAUUAUAUGCUUUCAUGGAAGAAAGACAACGUAUUAUAGUCAUUCAAAAAUGGAUGUCAAGUAAUAUAGUGAAUAUAGAUACCCAAUUGCAGAGGUAAAGCUCAGUUGUGUAGAAAGAGCUUUAGAGUUGGGUCAGGUGAAAGAGAUAAAGGGAGAAAUGCUCUAUGAUAUGACUUAUAGAUGAAGUCUGGGGAUAACAGAAAUAUUCUAGGAACGGGAUGAUGGUGAAUAUAUUGCUGCUCGUGAAGACAAUUCUAAUAAAAAAAUGCGUGGCUUGGAAAACAUACUUGCUUAGUUAGAUGGCUUGUUUGGGCUAUGAUGAUAAAUUAGGUGGAUUCGUUAGGUAAUACACUUGACUUUAUAAAUAACCAACUGUAAAAUCUAAACAUUUACAUAAAUUUAUCAUGACUGUCUUAACAUGUGUUGUGUGCUUCUGAGUUUUCCGCUUCUCUUCCAUUUUGCCAAAUGAAAAAUCUGUCUCAAAUCCAAUUCUCCUACCGCUCUCUAAAGUGUUUGACCCUACAGCAGUCUUCUGGUUCUUCAACUAUGUCCUCUCUUUGGUUCUAUGACAUUAUAUCACCCUGGAGCUUACAUAGGCUGAUUAUUCUUUCCUGUCUUCCUUCAUUGAUUCCAUUUGCAGUUUAUGAGCCCCGAAAUUUGGGCAUAGGUCCCCAUAUUCAUCUCAACUUUCUUUUAUCAAUGUAUACUGUCAUGGUGGCACUAAUUCACUAAUUUUCUUUUUUCUUUUC